This 491-nucleotide ribosomal RNA is filed under the name uncultured bacterium. RNAcentral's name for it is "partial 16S ribosomal RNA". It matches the Rfam family "Bacterial small subunit ribosomal RNA", at positions 29 to 507 of the family's 1533-position model. The record is from RNAcentral.
AGUGAACGCUGGCGGUAGGCCUAACACAUGCAAGUCGAACGGCAGCACAGUAAGAGCUUGCUCUUACGGGUGGCGAGUGGCGGACGGGUGAGGAAUACAUCGGAAUCUACUUUUUCGUGGGGGAUAACGUAGGGAAACUUACGCUAAUACCGCAUACGACCUACGGGUGAAAGCAGGGGAUCUUCGGACCUUGCGCGAUUGAAUGAGCCGAUGUCGGAUUAGCUAGUUGGCGGGGUAAAGGCCACCAAGGCGACGAUCCGUAGCUGGUCUGAGAGGAUGAUCAGCCACACUGGAACUGAGACACGGUCCAGACUCCUACGGGAGGCAGCAGUGGGGAAUAUUGGACAAUGGGCGCAAGCCUGAUCCAGUCAUACCGCGUGGGUGAAGAAGGCCUUCGGGUUGUAAAGCCCUUUUGUUGGGAAAGAAAAGCAGCAGGUUAAUACCCCGCUGUUCUGACGGUACCCAAAGAAUAAGCACCGGCUAACUUCGUG